Molecule: RNA transcript, 3387 nt
Organism: Macadamia integrifolia
Lineage: Eukaryota; Viridiplantae; Streptophyta; Magnoliopsida; Proteales; Proteaceae
Gene name: muscle M-line assembly protein unc-89-like
Exons: 16
Source: RefSeq, a predicted model, not a curated record
UUUUCUCUCUUUCAUCCUUAGAAGUCAAAGGUCGAGAGAGAGAACGGGCCAGCAGGAGAGUGGGCUAACGCUAAGCCUAAGUUAGAGAGAGAAAGAGGAGAAAUAGAGAGAGCUUGGGAAUAAAGAAAAAAAAAAAAAAACUGUUUUCAGUUUACUGAAAAAAACAGUGAAGCUCGAAGCUUCGAGGAUCUGGGACGGGAACCAAUGGCAUCCUCGGAGAAAGACCUCGAAGAACAGCUUAAUGAAGCUGGGGAGAUACUUCUUAAUCAUCUUCCUUCUGAUGUUGAUGAACUCCUCCCUCUUUUGGACCAAGUUGAGAACUUCCUAUCAAGGGUAGAACAGUCGCCAUCAAAAUCAAUGCAAGAUGCACUUUGCUCCUCAAUGAAGGCACUGGUUGCUGUUGAUCUGCUUAGGCAUUCAGAUAUGGAUGUGAAGGUUGCAGUUGCAUCUUGCAUAAGUGAGAUCACUAGAAUAACAGCGCCAGAAGCUCCUUACGAAGAUGAACAAAUGAAGGAAAUAUUUCAGUUGAUUGUUGGUGCAUUUGAGAAAUUGUUUGAUACUUCUAGUCGUUCAUAUUCGAAGAGAGUUUCAAUUCUUGAAACUGUGGCAAAGGUUCGAUCUUGUGUUGUGAUGUUGGACCUUGAAUGUGAUGCUCUGAUUCUUGAGAUGUUCCAGCAUUUCCUGAAAGCUAUAAGGGAUGCUCACCCAGAAAAUGUAUUUUCCGCGAUGGAGACAAUUAUGACCCUUGUGUUAGAGGAAAGUGAAGAUAUCUCAUCGGAGCUUCUUUCUUCCCUCCUAAGUAGUGUCAAAAAGGAGAAUCAAGAUGUUUUGCCUAUUGCACAAAAACUGGGAAAGAAAGUAAUUGAAAAUUGUGCUUCUAAGCUUAAACCAUACAUGAUUCAAGCAGGCAUUUCUUUUAAUGACUACUGUGACAUUGUGGCCUCUAUAUGCCAAGAAACAUCUGAUGCUGCUGAACAAAAUGAAGCCAAUGUAUUAGGCGAAGUUCCGGCAGAUGGGGCCAAAUUGUCAGAGAAGCCAAGUGCAGAUGAGCCACCCCAGGUGGUUAAUGAACUCCCACCAGAAACGGCCGGUUCUGGAUCAGUGGAUCCUGCUGUGGAUAAAUCACCAAAAUCAGUGAUGAGCAAUGGUAAUGCUCAAACUGGAAAUGAGGACUCCUUAAUAGAUCCAAGUUCUCCCAAAAAGAAGCCUGAGCGUUCUCGUCGUUCUAAUCAACCCAAAAGCACUGAUGGAGCAGCCAAGACUGAACCUGAUAGUUUGGAACCUGAGAAGGUAGUCAGACCAGAGAAAAGGCCAGAUCAAGCUACGAAGAAAACAAGGGGUAGGAAACCUAGUUCUUGUUCUCGGAUUGAUCAUGAAAAAGGAUCUGUAGAACAGCCUGAUCGGAGGAAGAGUCGCACAAAAGAAGCUGGUAGUGCAACUUCUGAAGGCCCUUCUAGCAUGGAGGUGGCUGUUUCAUCUGAACUCGAAAAGGAGAGUCAGGCACAGGCUUCCUCUCCAACAGCAUCACCUAGUGAGGCAAUGAAUGUUGUUUCAUCACCAACUCAGACCCAUACUGAUGGAACUCCCUCCAAGAAGGGACGGCGUGGGCCUAAGAAGAAAGGAAGCAGGAAACAUGAAGCUGAGCAUGGUUCAACAUCAAAGGGAGCUUUAUUGAGUGAUCAUGGUGAGGAUGAAGCUCAACCUGCUUCAGCUGUUAGCUCCAAGAAGGAAUCAGAGGGCAUGAGUGAUUCUGAAGCAAAGGCACAUAAGCGCACAGGGAAAAAAACACUUUCUGGUAAUGCCAAUGAGAAAAGCCCUACUCCAUUUGAUGUUGUCCCAAAGAAGGAAGCUGGAGCUGGAGCCACAAGUGAUUCAGAUGUGAUGUUACUGAGGAAGUCUGGCAAGAAGAUAGAUGGCAAAAAUGCCAACGAGGAUGAGUCAUCAGGAAAACAACAGGAUGAUAAGAAAAGGAGGAGCAGGGGAAAAACUAUCUCCAAUAAGAAUGUGGUUGAAGAAUCAAGUAAGAAGGUCACAGCUUCUUCACCUAAGUCUGCCACAAGGUCAUCUAAUAAAGAUGAAAGUAAAGUGGAGAACACCCCUAAGACAUCUUCCAAGAGAAAGCGUACUCCAGGGAAGGAAGAGGAUGGUGAGAAUCUGGUUGGUUCCAGGAUCAAGGUUUAUUGGCCAAAAGAUCGAAUAUAUUACGUAGGUGCUGUGUCAUCUUUUGACCCUGUUAAAAUGAAGCACACGGUUUCUUAUGAUGAUGGGGAUAAGGAGAUAUUGACACUUAGCAAGGAGAAGUGGCAGUUUGUUAAAGAAGAUGAAAUGGCAGAUGGGGGACAAGAAACUGAUACGCCAAGUGCUGAAACUGAUCCUCCAAGUCCUGAUACUUCUUCUGAUGUGCACCGAAAGAAGAAAGCAAAAAUGAAUUCAGAUUCGUCAACCAAGCAAGGAAAGCCAGAUGCUUCUGCUAAAAGGGCUAGUGGAGUUUCGACCAGCAAAUCCAAAAUUGAAAUUACAAAGUCUGGUGGUAAAUCCAAGGAUGUUAGACUCAGUGGCAAGUCCAAAGAUGACAGCCCUAAAAUUGUCAACAAAGCCAAGGUUGAAACACCUAAAACUGGCAGCAAAUCGAAAGAUGAUGUCCGGAAGUCAGGAAGCAAAUUAAAGGAUGACACGUCCAAGAUGAAGUCGAAGGAUGAAACGACCAAAACAAGCGCCAAGUCUAGGGGUGAAACCCCAAAAACUGGUGGCAAGACCAGUUCUAAUGGUACUACUGCGAAAGGGAAAUCCAGUUCAUUGAAGCUACAAGAAAAUGAAGAUUCUGUGAAAGUGAAAUCAGAUUCUGCAAAGGCACAAGAAAGAGAGACAAAAAGUGGGAAGAAGCGAGGAAGGAGGUAACUGAGACCGAUCUGAUUCGUGAGGGAAACUGAUUAUUUUUUUCCCCAGUGUUUCUUAAGGAGAAUUGAAAACGUCUCUUGGGAGGUGGAAUCUAGUCCUGCUUUGCCGCUGCUGCUGCUGCUGCUUCCAGUUAUGGAAAUGAAAAAUUUGCGUGAAUCGGUCUUUUCGCGGCUUAUUAUGCCCUGGGCCGACGAUGUCAUUAAGUGCAGGUGGUCCCAAGUUUCUAGUUGGUUGGAUGUGUAUUGUGGUUUGAUCUAUAAAUGAGACCUCUGGUGGUUGCCAUGAGGUGUGCCUCUGCGUUAAUCAUUGGGUUGGUCCCGUUCUCCCAAUGGUUUCAGAACUGAUAGACCAAUUAAGCACUGGUGGAACUAGAAUUGUUCCUUGACAGAUCUUGUCUGCUUCUUCUUGUUUCAGCAACUAUAUUCUCUUUUGCCUAGGUUUUGGGUUACUCUAUUAUUCUCUUAUCUGAAAUUCCAAUCAACUAAAUUA